UACGUAGGGUGCGAGCGUUAAUCGGAAUUACUGGGCGUAAAGCGUGCGCAGGCGGAUUGUUAAGCAAGAUGUGAAAUCCCCGGGCUUAACCUGGGAAUGGCAUUUUGAACUGGCAAUCUAGAGUGUGUCAGAGGGGGGUAGAAUUCCACGUGUAUCAGUGAAAUGCGUAGAGAUGUGGAGGAACAUCAGUUGCGAAGGCGGCUCUCUGGACCAACACUGACACUGAGGCACGAAAGCGUGGGGAGCAAACAGG
Molecule: ribosomal RNA, 253 nt
Filed under: uncultured bacterium
Lineage: Bacteria
Description: partial 16S ribosomal RNA
Rfam family: Bacterial small subunit ribosomal RNA
Source: RNAcentral